RNAcentral lists this ribosomal RNA (267 nucleotides) under uncultured bacterium. Its description in RNAcentral is "partial 16S ribosomal RNA". It matches the Rfam family "Bacterial small subunit ribosomal RNA", at positions 793 to 1055 of the family's 1533-position model. The record is from RNAcentral.
GUCCACGCCGUAAACGAUGAGUGCUAGGUGUCACGGGCUUUGACCCUCGUGGUGCCGUAGCUAACGCAAUAAGCACUCCGCCUGGGGAGUACGGCCGCAAGGCUAAAACUCAAAGGAAUUGACGGGGGCCCCGCACAAGCGGUGGAGCAUGUGGUUUAAUUCGACGCGACGCGCAGAACCUUACCUGGGCUAGAAAACACAGGAACCCGGGUGAAAACUCGGGGUGCUCUUCGGAGAAUCUGUGGUUAGGUGUUGCAUGGCUGUCGU